UACGUAGGGUGCGAGCGUUGUCCGGAAUUAUUGGGCGUAAAGAGCUUGUAGGCGGUCUGUCGCGUCUGCCGUGAAAUUUCGGGGCUCAACCCCGAACUUGCGGUGGGUACGGGCAGACUAGAGUGUGGUAGGGGAGACUGGAAUUCCUGGUGUAGCGGUGAAAUGCGCAGAUAUCAGGAGGAACACCGAUGGCGAAGGCGGCCUGCUGGCUGAUGGCUGACACUGAGGCGCGACAGCGUGG
This 241-nucleotide ribosomal RNA is filed under the name uncultured bacterium. RNAcentral describes it as "partial 16S ribosomal RNA". It matches the Rfam family "Bacterial small subunit ribosomal RNA", at positions 524 to 764 of the family's 1533-position model. The record is from RNAcentral.